AGCGAACGCUGGCGGCGUGCCUAACACAUGCAAGUCGAACGUGAAAGGGAGCAAUCCCAAGUAAAGUGGCGUACGGGUGAGUAACACGUAGGUAAUCUACCCCAGAAUCUGGAAUAACCGGCCGAAAGGCUGGCUAAUACUGGAUAGAGCGACGGAAUCCGUAAUUGGGUUUUUCGGGAAAGGGAGCCUGUAAAAAGGCCUUCGUUCUGGGAUGAGCCUGCGUCCCAUCAGCUAGUUGGUGAGGUAAAAGCUUACCAAGGCAAUGACGGGUAGCUGGUCUGAGAGGAUGAUCAGCCACACUGGGACUGAAACACGGUCCAGACUCCUACGGGAGGCAGCAGUGGGGAAUCUUGCGCAAUGGACGAAAGUCUGACGCAGCAACGCCGCGUGAGUGAAGAAGGCCUUCGGGUUGUAAAGCUCUGUCGGGUGGGACGAAAAUGCUUGGAGUUCAAAGCUCCAGGAACUGACGGUACCAAUAAAGGAAGCACCGGCUAACUCCGUG
This 502-nucleotide ribosomal RNA is filed under the name uncultured bacterium. RNAcentral describes it as "partial 16S ribosomal RNA". It matches the Rfam family "Bacterial small subunit ribosomal RNA", at positions 29 to 507 of the family's 1533-position model. The record is from RNAcentral.